Molecule: long non-coding RNA, 1551 nt
Organism: Sinocyclocheilus grahami
Lineage: Eukaryota; Metazoa; Chordata; Actinopteri; Cypriniformes; Cyprinidae
Source: Ensembl
UGCCUUUCUUGGUCUGUCCCCAGUCCAGUUUCUUUGCUGUAUUGGAAAAUGUGGAAAAAAUGCAUGAAUUUAAGUGGCAAAAUGUAACACCUGAACACAUAAUUUUACUCCCGUCCAAGAAUAUACGCAAAUCAUCAGACCGGAAAAGGCCAUGUGUUGAUCGUGUCCCAGAGGAGCAUCAUCCGCGCACAGGUGAGACCCGACGGAGUGACGUCACGGGCGUCACGCAGGUGAGCGCGCGUCGCUGGGCGUUGACUUGUUGUGUAGAGACCCGUUAUUCAGGAUCUUCAUCUCUUCUCUGGUACUUUCUGGGUGAGGAAAGAGUCACACAUGCGUUCAGCACGAUUUAGUGUCAAACUAAAACUGAGUUCAAAGAUGCCACACUUAAGAACAAUGACUUUACUAUAUGGCUCCGCGUUAUCGUCCGGGCAGAACUAUUGUUCCAGCCACCAAAGACAGAUUCACAAAUAACCUGCCUGAUUUAUCUCAACUGCUCUGUGUACCAAUAAGUACACAUGAACUAGACGAAAUAACUAGCAACAUGGGCACUAUCUUCUCUAAUACAUUAGAAGCUGUUGCCCCCAUCAAAUUGAAAAAGGUUAGAGAAAAACGUACUGCGCCAUGGUACAACAGUAAUACCCAUUCUCUCAAGAAAAAAACUCGUAGUCUUGAGCGCAAAUGGAGAAAAACUAACUUGGAAGUUUUUAGAAUUGCGUGGAAAAACAGUAUGUCCAGCUAUAGACAGGCUCUAAAAGCUGCCAGGGCCGAGCAUAUCCACAAACUCAUAGAAAAUAACCAAAACAAUCCAAGGUUUGUAUUUAGCACAGUGACUAGAUUAACAAAUAACCAGACGCCACCCGAUCUAAAUAUUCCCGCACAGUUUAAUAGUAAUGACUUUAUGAAUUUCUUCACUGAUAAAAUAGAUAACAUCAGAAAUACAAUAACAAAUGUAGAUUCUACAGCGUAUAAUACUUCAGCUUCAUUCAUCGCACCAAAAGAUAAACUGCAGUGCUUUACAACUAUAGGACAGGAAGAGCUAAAUAAACUUAUCACUGCAUCUAAACCAACAACAUGCCUGUUAGAUCCUGUACCCACUAAAUUACUGAAAGAGUUGUUACCUGUAGCACAAGAACCGCUUCUCAAUAUUAUUAACUCGUCGUUAUCUUUACGUCACGUCCCAAAACCAUUCAAGCUGGCGGUUAUUAAGCCUCUUAUUAAAAAACCACAAUCCGCAGAUCCUAGUGAACUGACAAAUUACAGACCCAUCUCAAAUCUUCCUUUUAUGUCUAAAAUUUUAGAAAAAGUUGUGUCUGCUCAAUUGUGCUCCUUCCUGCAAAAAAAUGAUCUCUAUGAAGAAUUUCAGUCAGGUUUCAGGCCCCACCAUAGCACAGAAACUGCACUUGUUAAAAUUACAAAUGACAUACUUCUUGCGUCAGACCAAGGCUGCAUCUCAUUGCUAGUUUUACUUGAUCUUAGUGCUGCAUUCGAUACUAUAGAUCAUGACAUACUCAUAGAUCGAUUACAAAACUAUACAGGUAUCCAAGGGCAGGC